RNAcentral lists this small RNA (601 nucleotides) under Vigna angularis var. angularis. RNAcentral describes it as "Non-protein coding transcript". The record is from RNAcentral. Lineage: Eukaryota; Viridiplantae; Streptophyta; Magnoliopsida; Fabales; Fabaceae.
CAUAAGAAGAUGAAUUCAAUGGAAGAAAGCGUGUGAAUUUGUUUGUUUAUAUGUAUAUUUGUAUUUGUUUGACUGGUCUUUGCUCUCUCUCUCCUUUCUCUGUUCUUUCUUUGGAGAGAGAGAGGGAGAGAGAGAAAGGGUCACCGGCCGCCCCCGCCAAACGUACCCUCCUCCCUCCUUCCUGUCUACAAUAAAAGUCAAUUUCAUCACCACCUGCCCAACCGGUGCUGGAUCCAAUGAUUCCAAUGCUGGCAGGAGACAAAGCAAGAGGCCCAAGUACUCAAAGUUUACACAACAAGAACUACCAGCGUGCAAGCCUAUUCUCACACCACGAGCAGUUAUUUCAGCCUUCUUGAUUGUCACCCUAGUGUUCAUUCCCAUUGGAGUUGCUUCGCUAAUUGCUUCGCAUGAUGUUGUUGAGAUUAUUGAUAGGUAUGACUCUCAGUGCAUACCAACAAAUGUGACAGACAAGGUGGCAUACAUUCAGACUCCUGGUGAAAAGCCAUGCAAUAGGACGCUACUUGUGGACAAGCGUAUGAAGUCUCCUAUCUAUGUUUACUACCAGCUUGACAACUUUUACCAGAAUCAUAGGCGGUAUGUU